This 154-nucleotide ribosomal RNA is filed under the name uncultured bacterium. RNAcentral's name for it is "partial 16S ribosomal RNA". It matches the Rfam family "Bacterial small subunit ribosomal RNA", at positions 338 to 509 of the family's 1533-position model. The record is from RNAcentral.
CCUACGGGAGGCAGCAGUAGGGAAUAUUGGACAAUGGGCGAAAGCCUGAUCCAGCAAUGCCGCGUGAGUGAUGAAGGCCUUAGGGUUGUAAAGCUCUUUUACCCGAGAUGAUAAUGACAGUAUCGGGAGAAUAAGCUCCGGCUAACUCCGUGCC